CACCUCUUAGUUUCUAUAAACAACCAUGAAUCCCCCAACAGCGUCAUCCAUGUUGGCUUUAGUCUUCUUCUUGGUUAUUAUUGCUGCAGGUGUUGAACCCCUGGAGAAAUCCUCAUUCAAUUUAUCAUUAAUAGAAGAGGCAGAAGAAGAGCUAGUACCAGUUGCAGGAACAAAAAUGGAGUUCAAAGGUAUCGGCGAUGUGUUUAGGCGGCGACAAUUAGGUGAUCUCCCAAGGUGUCUGAUCUGCACUUGUUGUAAUAGAUCUGUUCCGAAGAAGUGCAUAAAAAAGUUGUGUUGUCAUCAUCUCAAAUGCAAGUUUAUCGUUUGUACCUGGCAGCCCAUCGCUUGCAAUUGUGACAAUUGUAACUGAUAUAUAUGAUUAUAUUUUACUUUAAAAGUAUUUAGAAAGAAUCUAUUGAAAAAUAAAAAUAAAAAUAUUUGUAAUGGAAAAAUUGAAUAUGUAAUGGGAACCUAUCAAUUUAAAAUUAUUAGUUGUUAGUUUGUUA
This is a long non-coding RNA of Ipomoea nil (Japanese morning glory), 506 nucleotides long. RefSeq lists it as uncharacterized. The transcript is spliced from 2 exons. NCBI's taxonomy places the organism in Eukaryota, Viridiplantae, Streptophyta, Magnoliopsida, Solanales, Convolvulaceae. The record is from RefSeq and is a predicted model, not a curated record.